AAGAGAGAAGAGAAUUGAGAAAUGUAGUUUUCUGAAAUUUCCAAGAGGCGAGGGAAAGGCAAAGUAUUUGUCCCUAGUCAAGUGCUUGGCACAGAGUAAGCUGGUGAUAAUUUGGCAUGUUUACAUCAGAAUUGCUCACUUAUUUUCUCUACUCAGCCUAGGCAAAGAUAUCCUUUGGAAAACUGCCAGAUAUCUCCCCUAAAAAAAUUAUACAUCAUUCUCUGUGAAGAAAUGCCCACUUAGCAAAAUCCAGCUGGAACUCAAGCAAAAAGCCAUAGUCUUAGUGGCUUGAGAUAUCAGGUGAUAGAGUUUGGGAUUGCCAUAGUGACUGGAAAUUGAGUGUUGUUACCUGUAUUAUACAUUGUAAGUAUUAUACUGUAUUAUACAUUUUACUGUAUGUAUAAAAUAUUUAUAUGCAUAUAAAGAAGGGGUUUUUUUACUUUUUUUUUACUUACAAUAUAAAUAUUGGUUAGAUGCUUCAGCUAGAGUGCUC
This 493-nucleotide long non-coding RNA is filed under the name Fukomys damarensis (Damara mole-rat). RNAcentral's name for it is "lncRNA (ENSFDAG00000029538.1)". Lineage: Eukaryota; Metazoa; Chordata; Mammalia; Rodentia; Bathyergidae. The record is from RNAcentral.